Molecule: ribosomal RNA, 274 nt
Filed under: uncultured bacterium
Lineage: Bacteria
Description: partial 16S ribosomal RNA
Rfam family: Bacterial small subunit ribosomal RNA
Source: RNAcentral
AUACGGAGGGGGCUAGCGUUGUUCGGAAUUACUGGGCGUAAAGGGCGCGUAGGCGGAUUGUCAAGUCAGAGGUGAAAGCCCUGGGCUCAACCUGGGAACUGCCUUUGAAACUAACGGUCUAGAGUCCGAGAGAGGAUGGCGGAAUUCCCAGUGUAGAGGUGAAAGUCGUAGAUAUUGGGAAGAACACCAGUGGCGAAGGCGGCCAUCUGGCUCGGUACUGACGCUGAGGCGCGAAAGCGUGGGGAGCAAACAGAAUUAGAUACCCCAGUAGUCC